RNAcentral lists this ribosomal RNA (381 nucleotides) under uncultured bacterium. Its description in RNAcentral is "bacterial SSU rRNA". It matches the Rfam family "Bacterial small subunit ribosomal RNA", at positions 29 to 428 of the family's 1533-position model. The record is from RNAcentral.
AACGAACGCUGGCGGCAUGCCUAACACAUGCAAGUCGAACGGGAUCCUGGUUUCGGCCAGGUGAGAGUGGCGGACGGGUGAGUAACGCGUGGGAACCUGCCCAGUGGUGGGGGAUAACUGCGGGAAACUGCAGCUAAUACCGCAUGAGCCCGAAAGGGGAAAGAUUGAUCGCCAUUGGAGGGGCCCGCGUUCGAUUAGGUAGUUGGUGAGGUAACGGCUCACCAAGCCUUCGAUCGANAGCUGGUCUGAGAGGAUGAUCAGCCACACUGGGACUGAGAUACGGCCCAGACUCCUACGGGAGGCAGCAGUGGGGAAUAUUGGACAAUGGGGGCAACCCUGAUCCAGCAAUGCCGCGUGAGUGAUGAAGGCCUUCGGUUGUAA